GGAGAGAGACGUAUUGCAUUUCUUAGCUUCUUUUGAUGUUGUCUUGUAUAAUGCAUAUUUCCUUGUAAUUAAAAUGCCUAACAGUUUGUUUGCUUUUUGCAAAGUGAAAACUGCAGAGAUAGUGGAGAAAGAAAAGCCUACAGAUGAAACUUGUUCAUCCAAAAGACCAAAGAAGAAGAAAAAUCAGUUAAAUUGAAAACGAGGGAGGAGUUGGAUAAGGGCAAGACAGGUGGGAAAAAAGGCCUCCUCAGGAUCUAAGGAAUGGGUCUAAAGAUCUUUGUGGCUGGUAUUUGAAGUUGAGCUGGUGGAUAUUACUUUUCAUCCUAAAAUUGUUGUUGUAGUAGUGUUCUCUUUAAGGGAGAACAUGUUGGCAUGAUAUGUCUUGAGUACAACUUCAUUCGAAAGAUCAAAACCCUUGGAUUGGAUGGUCAUGUUUUGCUUAGGCUGAACCAUCAUUAAGAUCUUUUCAUUUAGUAUUGCUUGUGUUUUUUUCUCUUGGUUCAAACAGAUGUGAGAAAAUGGAGGACUCCUUGAAACUCUUUUGGUGAACUAUUAUCAAUGAAUGGUUCAUAAUGUUUGAUGCA
Capsicum annuum is the source of this 584-nucleotide long non-coding RNA. RefSeq lists it as uncharacterized. The record is from RefSeq and is a predicted model, not a curated record. NCBI's taxonomy places the organism in Eukaryota, Viridiplantae, Streptophyta, Magnoliopsida, Solanales, Solanaceae. The transcript has 2 exons.